CCAGAAUUCCCAGGUGUUUCUUGUAUUUAGUCAUCAGCACUGAACACAGAAGACUCACCAUGGAGUUUGGGCUGAGCUGGGUUUUUCUCGUUGCUAUUAUAAGAGGUGUCCAGUGUGAGGUGCAGCUGGUGGAGUCUGGGGGAGGCUUGGUUCAGCCCGGGGGGGGUCCCUGAGACUCACCUGUGCAGCCUCUGGAUUCACCUUCAGUAACUACUGGAUGAACUGGGUCCGCCAGGCUCCAGGGAAGGGGCUGGAGUGGAUUGGACAAAUUAAUCCUAAUGGAGGUAGCACAUACCUCACAGACUCCGUGAAGGGCCGGUUCACCAUCUCCAGAGACAACGCCAAGAACACGCUUCAUCUACGAAUGAACCGCCUGAAAACCGAGGACGCGGCCAUGUAUUACUGUGCUGGAGACACAGUGAGGGGAGCUCAGUGUGAGCCCAGACACAAACCUCCCUGCAGGGGCGCGCGGGGCCACCAGGGGGCGCUCGGGACCCACCGAGGACGGGACAGGUCCCAGGAGCAGGUGCAGGGGGGGAUCCACCUCUUAACUGCAGGAGGCAGCCUUGUUUUUGCAGGACUAAGCAGUCUUCUGAGACGGACACACUGGGACAAAAAGAUUUUUGUGACUGUCCCAUUUUGGGGAAAAGGGAUUGAAGAGAAUAGGAAAGCUCUUCAGCAUGUGGUCCCUGAGAAAUUCACACUCAACACGUUUGCCACACUCGACUUCAAUGUGUCCAAUAUAGAAGUUGUUUUUAUCUUGUAA
Molecule: non-coding RNA, 766 nt
Organism: Callithrix jacchus (white-tufted-ear marmoset)
Lineage: Eukaryota; Metazoa; Chordata; Mammalia; Primates; Cebidae
Source: RefSeq, a predicted model, not a curated record